This 273-nucleotide non-coding RNA is filed under the name Pelodiscus sinensis (Chinese soft-shelled turtle). Its description in RNAcentral is "Eukaryotic small subunit ribosomal RNA". It matches the Rfam family "Eukaryotic small subunit ribosomal RNA", at positions 1224 to 1457 of the family's 1831-position model. Lineage: Eukaryota; Metazoa; Chordata; Testudines; Trionychidae. The record is from Rfam by way of RNAcentral.
CUGGACAUGGAAAGGAUUGACAGAUUAAUAGCUCUCUCUCGAUUCUGUGGGCAGUGGUGCAUGGCCAGUCUUAGUUGGUGGAGCGAUUUGUCUGGUUAAUUCCGAUAAACGAGACUCUGGCAUGCUGACUAGUUACGCGACACCCGAGCAGCCUCCUUCAUUUUGUUAGUCUUUAAAGUGCUACCAGACAAUUUGUUGUUUUUUUAAGUUAUCCUGUACAGACUACUCAGCUACCCCCUGAAGCUACCAUUACAAGGUGUUCAGAGCCCAAUG